This 225-nucleotide non-coding RNA is filed under the name Bacillus sp. CECT 9360. RNAcentral's name for it is "T-box". It matches the Rfam family "T-box leader". Rfam says of the family: Uncharged tRNA acts as the effector for transcription antitermination of genes in the T-box leader family. T-boxes are found upstream of many aminoacyl-tRNA synthetase genes and some amino acid biosynthetic genes usually in Gram-positive bacteria. Lineage: Bacteria; Bacillati; Bacillota; Bacilli; Caryophanales; Bacillaceae. The record is from RNAcentral.
AAAAUGACGAUGAUAAGGAUUAGUAACGAUUUAGUUCCUGUACAGAGAGUUGGCGAAUGGUGCAAGCCAACCGGGAGCAGUCGUGAACUCGCCUUUGAGUUUUAAGCAUGAACCUUAGUAGUGCUUGACGUAGUUUCCACGUUACGGAUUUUGAGUGGGGCGAUUAUCUUGUCGCCAAUUUGGGUGGUACCGCGGGAAGAUAUACAUAAUCCUCUCGUCCCUUUU